GGACUACUCGGGUAUCUAAUCCUGUUUGCUCCCCACGCUUUCGCGCCUCAGCGUCAGUGUCUGUCCAGAUAGCCGCCUUCGCCACUGGUGUUCCUUCCGAUAUCUACGCAUUUCACCGCUACACCGGAAAUUCCACUAUCCUCUACAGCACUCUAGUCAUUCAGUCUUGAAUGCAGUUCCUAGGUUAAGCCCAGGGAUUUCACAUCCAACUUAAGUAACCGCCUACGCGCCCUUUACGCCCAGUAAUUCCGAUUAACGCUUGCACCCUCUGUAUUACCGCGGCUGCUGGCAC
This 292-nucleotide ribosomal RNA is filed under the name uncultured bacterium. RNAcentral's name for it is "partial 16S ribosomal RNA". The record is from RNAcentral.